CUUUUGCCUGCGGCCACCUAAGACGUAACUUUGCUCCUUAUUCGCUUUCCGCCAUGAUUGUGAGGCCUCCCCCACCAUGUGGAACUAAAACGUCCUAAUAAGAAGAUAAGGUGACCGAAUAAGGGGAUUACUUGGCAGAGAUAUGAGAGAACUGGGUUCUUGACCCCACUUUGCCAUGAACUUGGCACUUCUCCUUCCUGCCAUCAUGUGAAGAAGGACUUGUUU
This 225-nucleotide long non-coding RNA is filed under the name Homo sapiens (human). RNAcentral describes it as "HSALNT0323199". Lineage: Eukaryota; Metazoa; Chordata; Mammalia; Primates; Hominidae. The record is from RNAcentral.